RNAcentral lists this long non-coding RNA (271 nucleotides) under Rosa chinensis. RNAcentral describes it as "sRNA RchiOBHm_Chr1g0376761". The record is from RNAcentral. Lineage: Eukaryota; Viridiplantae; Streptophyta; Magnoliopsida; Rosales; Rosaceae.
AUGGUUGUGUUGUUCAUGGUAUGGGUUUCUGGAGAUUUCCUGCAAUUUGAAACCUUGUAAAGAUUUCUGGAUUUUCAUUAUAAUUUCUACUGCUUCUGACUAGAAUUGGUCAUCGUGCCUUCCACCACGGCAUCACCCACCGGAAUCCCAAGGUUCAGGUCAGCGUCAUCGGUUUAUUAGAAAGGGUUAUGAAUCAACGGCUCAUUCUAAUCUCCAACAGAAAGCUUGCAUGAUCACAGUAGCUUGAGGUUGAAGUUUCUAGGGGCAUUUG